RNAcentral lists this ribosomal RNA (492 nucleotides) under uncultured bacterium. RNAcentral describes it as "partial 16S ribosomal RNA". It matches the Rfam family "Bacterial small subunit ribosomal RNA", at positions 29 to 507 of the family's 1533-position model. The record is from RNAcentral.
AGUGAACGCUGGCGGCAGGCCUAACACAUGCAAGUCGAACGGCAGCACAGUAAGAGCUUGCUCUUACGGGUGGCGAGUGGCGGACGGGUGAGGAAUACAUCGGAAUCUACUUUUUCGUGGGGGAUAACGUAGGGAAACUUACGCUAAUACCGCAUACGACCUACGGGUGAAAGCAGGGGAUCUUCGGACCUUGCGCGAUUGAAUGAGUCGAUGUCGGAUUAGCUAGUUGGCGGGGUAAAGGCCCACCAAGGCGACGAUCCGUAGCUGGUCUGAGAGGAUGGUCAGCCACACUGGAACUGAGACACGGUCCAGACUCCUACGGGAGGCAGCAGUGGGGAAUAUUGGACAAUGGGCGCAAGCCUGAUCCAGCCAUACCGCGUGGGUGAAGAAGGCCUUCGGGUUGUAAAGCCCUUUUGUUGGGAAAGAAAAGCAGCAGGUUAAUACCCCGCUGUUCUGACGGUACCCAAAGAAUAAGCACCGGCUAACUUCGUG